ACCAACUACCGGUAAUCUUGUUUUAUCGUUAAAACGUUUCUUUAUUCGACACUAUGAGUUUAGCAGUAAACAGUUGUGCAUAUUUAUACGGGAGACUCGGCAUGAAUGCGUUAACAUUGGUAAAGGUAGUUAAAGACAUUCGGAGUUUAAAGAAAAUAUAACAUACUGUAAAGUCCGAUAAAUGGAUACAAUUAAAGGAAUUGUCAAUGGUGAAUCACUGGAAACCCGAAUCCGGAACAUCGAGGCUGAUAUUGCAUCUAUGAAAACAACAAUGAAUGAAAUAUUGCGGCUAGUGAGUCAUAAAACAAGGGUGAACCAGAGACGAUGCCUUUCACCGUCGAAGGCAGGACGUUCGACAUCUCGUUUCGAUCUUUCAAAGCAAGUCCACUUGCAAGAAGCACUGCGAAGGAACCUGAGCUUGUUUGUGAACGACUUGUGCCUCGACGACUGGCAAAUUCUGGACCGUCUACACGCAUGCGAUUGCAUUAACUCCGAAGAGCUUCAGGUCAUCAGUUCAAAGAGAAACAGCAAUGACAAAGUGCGAGCGCUUGUGUUAAAAUUGAAAAACAAAUCGCCCCGUGUAAUCAAUACAUUUCUACAAAUUCUGGCCGAGGACAAGGUUUACGAGGUUUUAUUAGGCAAGUUCAACGAUUCUUUAGUAAACAUCGAGAAAGAAAAACGAAACAGGAGUAAAUGUGCCAUAUGCGUGAUGAAAGAAAAUGUUGACAUUAAAGAUAUUGCAGAUUCAUUGUGGGAAGAAACACUUAUUUCUGACAACAUAAUCGAACGACUAGUUAUAAAUGAAGAUAGUUCGCAAACACUGAGAAAUUCGUUUUGGGAAUACGUGGCAGAGAUGUUAAAAGAAUCGGAAGAAAAUAUGCUGAAAGUUAUAGCGGCAUUGACACAAAACUAUGACUAUUUGGUUCCGUUUCUUAAAGACGACAAGGGGAAUAUGCUGUCAUUAGACUGUUGCUAUUGUAGACACCAGCGUAUAAAUUUGCACCCGAGACCAAAAAAACUUAUUUAGUUCCAUCAGCGAUGAAAGCAACACUUCGGAGCGCGGAGGAAGGGAUAAUAGUGGUAGUUUUGCUUCAGUCCAGUCAUCAUUAUGCAUGGCUUGUUCGUCGGUGAUGAACCACGAUGAUGAAGUUACUAGAAGAAACACGAACGUAUCGUCGAAACGGCGACUUAAACAUCGAAAUAACAGAAUUGAGAAAAUAAAUGAACAAUUACUCGAAACGCCAUUUUCAGAAGCUGCGGCCAUGAAAUUCUCAGAGGAUAGCACCAUUUUCGACAACACGCAAGACACGGAUAAACUUGACGAGACUUAUUGCAAACAGGUGGAUUCAGACACCGAAACUUUGCAUGGAGCACGAUCUGAGAGUACUAGCAGCGGACAAUUCGAUGUGUUUCAACUUACAACUCCUCGUCCGGAUGAUCGUACCAAAUGCAAACAUUGCCGUCCUCGUAAUGACACGAUUUAAAUCAAUACUCAGCCUAAAUGAUCUUCCACGGUAGAGGUGAACAUUUCCAAACUAGCCCAUGUGCAAGAGGCAUUGAGACAAAUUUUCAGAAUGUUUCAAGAUGUAUAUCAGGACGAUUGACAUAUUAAAAGUUGUCUGUACGAAAUUGAUUGCAUCUGUUUGAGGAUUGUUUGAUACACACAAAUAAUCAGCUAUUCCGCGUUCUUUAAAAAAAGGAACGUGGCGCCUUAUUUAAUUAACAUAUUGUUUAUGUCGUACAAGAAGACCAAGCAUAGUGGGAGUUAUACUACGUAUUUAACGUAUCGUUAUGGCAAAUUAUAAACGAAAAUACAAACAGAACGAAAUGUGUAGCCAGUUUAUUGAAAGCAACCUUUCGUAUAAAGGCUAUAGCUGACGCCCUGUGGGGUGAAAAAAAAAUACUGACGAAAUAUAUUCGAAUAUUUGUUCGAUCAUGAGAAUUUGUAUACACUUAAAACAUUAGUUUUUACCGAACAUUGUAAACAGCAUAUGAGAUUCAGAAAAAAGGCAAUAACUAAUAAUUAAAUCCCUGCAACCAAAUUAUGCUUAUUUAUAUCCAGGUCUCAAAGACAAACAAGGCAGAUUAAUGUCAUUGGAAUGUUGCUAUUGUCGAUUUCAGCGUCCGCAAUUUCGCGAAAGGAAGCCUGAUUUAUACGGCUCUCUAAGCGACAUGAUCACGACCACCGAAUAUGCGGAAAUCUCAGAAAGAGAUUCUUGUCAAUCGUCGGUGAUUCGUUGCUUCCACAAAGAUAAUUUAGUACACAGAUUUAAAUUCAGCUCCGCCAACAUUUCAUUGAAACAAAGAAGAUUUAAAAAUACAGCUGGCAAACUCAUUUUAAGGAAAGUGUCUAUGGCGGACAUAGCCAAAAUGUCUGCAGAAAAUGAUCUACGUAAUUGCAAUUCAGACGAACAUAGAAAUACUGAUGGGGAAAUAGUUGCUAGAUCCGUAAUGGAAAUAGUUUUAAAAGGCAAAGUGUUCUCUACGUUUUAACAUGUCUAACAAUAUAGUACGUACAUAUAUGUGUAAACAAUCUCACUGGGGGAUAAAGAAAGAUCAACCUAAGUCAUUUUCAGACGCUGCAACACAAACUGACGUAAUUGAGCGUGCAUGUCGCAUGCAAAGUACAAGUAAAUCCUAUGGUAGAUAAACGUGAAAAAUUUCAAGAGGGUACUGCUCGUAUGCAUGACACAGGAGUUUCUGGAACCUCGACUGCCUUUGGCGAUAACUCUGUCACAUAAAGUAAUACGGAAACCAUAAAUCUGCCUCAACUGUGUUCAACAGAUACAAGUCACAUCUAUUAAAAGUUCAAUAACUAUGCACCUGUAAGCAGACCAGCCGGCUUGCAAGCAGGCAUCAAUUGCAUUAUUUUUAUAGAGAAUGGUUGGUUAAAACACAUACUCGAUCUCAGUGCAAAACAGUCUUUAGGUUAUCAAAGUUGGGGUGGGUUGGACCUUUCCGACAAAGAGAUGGAAACGUCUUCUAUAACAUUAAUAAAAUCUACAGUACGUUUUCUUUGAAUAAGAUUAGAGCUUAGCUGUGAAAUGUGUUUGCAGACACAUUUUAUUUAUGUUUUAUUGAACGUAUUAGAAUAUUUGAUACCAAUGACAUUUUAAUCAUAGUGCAAACGGUUGAAAU
Dreissena polymorpha is the source of this 3138-nucleotide RNA transcript. RefSeq lists it as uncharacterized. The transcript has 4 exons. NCBI's taxonomy places the organism in Eukaryota, Metazoa, Mollusca, Bivalvia, Myida, Dreissenidae. The record is from RefSeq and is a predicted model, not a curated record.